CUGUCGAGGUCCCCACCCAGCCGGCUACAGGAAAUGCUGUGUUUUCCAAGAGCGCGCCCGAGUCCCGCCCGCCCGGGGCGCAGCGAAGCUCAGUGGCGCCCCCUGGAGGCGCGCGGCUGCCGGCUCCGUCGCGCCUGGGCGCGGACGCGGCGCUCUUCCACGCGCCUCUCGCGCGCUGCGGUAGCCCCUCGGCGGAGCUGCCCAGGUGUCUUCCGAAGUGAACGCCAACUGACCGAGGACCGAGGACCAGACAGAUGACACCCCUCCUUAGGACUUGGUUCGGCGAAAGUCCCCUCCAGAGGCCAGCCGCCACCCCCAGGGAGAGUUGCAAACCCCCAGAUUGACUCAGGAUGAGGAGUGUUCCCGUGUCUCAGGUCUGGUCGCUGCUGCUUCCUCUUUGGGUUCCGACAGUCCACCCAGCCCUCAUCCUUCCUUGGGCUCCCAGGGCGAGGGCCGUGCCCCUCAUCGCCACCCUGAUGUCCAUCCACUGAUGAAUGGGGAAAAUGUGGCCCACCCUACAGUGGCCUCCGAUUCAGCCACGAGAAGGAAUGGAAACUGACCCCUGCUACAUGUGGAUGAACCUGAAACACCUCCUGCUAAGUGAAAGCGGCCAGACGCAAAUGUCAUGUAUUAUAUGUUUCCGUUUCUAUGAAACAUCCGGAAGGGUUGAAUCCGCAGAGGCUGAAAACAGAUGAGUGGUUGCUGGGGACCAGGUGGAAGGGAGAAAUAGGGAGAGACUGCUUAACGGGCAGUCCUUUGGCGGGUGAUGGAAGUGUUUUGGAACUAGACCCAGAGGGUGAUCAUCCAACAUUGUGAAUGUACUGAAUGCCACUGAAUUGCACAUCUUAAAAACGGCUAAUUUUAUGUUAUGUGAAAUUUGCCCCAGUAGGAAUAAA
Molecule: long non-coding RNA, 896 nt
Organism: Mustela erminea (ermine)
Lineage: Eukaryota; Metazoa; Chordata; Mammalia; Carnivora; Mustelidae
Exons: 3
Source: RefSeq, a predicted model, not a curated record